AGGGAAGGGGGCAGAAACGUUCAGUCUUUUUGAGAUAUUCUCCUGUCCUCUCCUCUGUUCUAUCUGUUCCACUGCUAAAGUUUUCCUUGGUAGGGAACCACUUUCCCACUGUUCUUUUUCUUCCUCAUUCUCAGAUCCACCCAAGCUUCUCUCAGCCCCACCUUCCUGUCUUCCCCCUCCCUACUCAAGCCAAAACCCACACAGAGGGAUUUAAACCCGUCAUCGACUUGCCCAGGGACUCUUCAUCCCUACUGACUCCCAGGACAACACUCCCAUAGACCUCUCAGGCCUUAGCCCCUUUGAGCUACACAAACGCUCAAGUGCCUAUUGCUUAGUCCAAGAUCUCCUCCUAAUUAAUGAAGCGGUUAUUCCCAUCCACCCAGUGGUUCCCAACCCUUACACUCUUCUUCUUCAUAUCCCUCCUUUGACCACUCACUUUACUGUCCUGAAUCUUAAAUAUGCCUUCUUUAUAGUGCCUCUCCAUCCUGACUCUUAUUACCUCUUUGCCUUCACAUGGGAAGGAUCCUUUAGGUCUCAACAGUUGACAUGGACAGUCCUACCCCAAGGCUUUCAGGGAGGGCCAGUCCCCACCUCUUGGCACAGGAUCUAACUGCUUGUGACUUGGGGGAUAGCACUCUCUUACAGUUGGACAGAAGUCUUCCCUACCUCCAGGGAAGCUGCUGACAAUGUCACCUCCAUCCUCAUUGAGCAAAUUUCCAGGUUUGUCUUCACUUCUCAGGUGGUUCAACUAGUCUCCAAAGGUCUCAACAUCACUUGGAGGCUCCGUAUCCCCUACCGACCCCAAUCCUCAGGUUUGGAUCAUACUCUGUUGACUGCGAUACCCAUUGAUCUUCCUCUCAAUACAUCAACCAGACUCCAAAGGACCUCCCUCUCCAGCCUUGGAGGAAGUAUCUCUUUUUCCUAACUCAUCAGGGAAUUUCACUUGCUGCUACACUUCCUCUGGUUCAGCACCCUGUGACCAGGUCAUUCGAAUUUCUUCCCCAACCUUUGCUCUACCAGAGUUCUUUUUCUGGUGCAAUGGUAUCCUAACAAAAAAUCUAAGCCUCAACAUGC
This is a non-coding RNA of Ictidomys tridecemlineatus (thirteen-lined ground squirrel), 1074 nucleotides long. NCBI's taxonomy places the organism in Eukaryota, Metazoa, Chordata, Mammalia, Rodentia, Sciuridae. The record is from RefSeq and is a predicted model, not a curated record.